This 65-nucleotide transfer RNA is filed under the name Eriosoma lanigerum (woolly apple aphid). RNAcentral's name for it is "tRNA-Trp". The record is from RNAcentral. Lineage: Eukaryota; Metazoa; Arthropoda; Insecta; Hemiptera; Aphididae.
UAAGAUUUUAAGUUAAUUUAAACUAUUAAUCUUCAAAAUUAAAAAUAAAAAAAAAUUAAAUCUUA